CUCAAGUAGGUCAUUCCUGAAAGCAACCAUCACGCAGCAGGAAGAGGUGACUUGCGGGCUGCAAGCGCACUUUGUACUGCUGAGCUAGCAAAGGUUACAGCAACAAUGGAAAACAAUGUCAGCUCUUAUCUCUGAGGCCUCUGCUCUAUAAUCCAUUAUUGGAAGUGGUGCACUGAGCAUGGGAUCUAGGCAUAUGGUCAGUCCCAUAAAGGGAACAGUCAGGAAGGUCAGCAGACAUAUGGCAGAAAGGCCAAGAAGUCAACAUGUCGAGAAGGCAACAAGCCAAGCUGCUGACAGGAGGAUCAACUGCUACAAAUCAUCAGAAGGCAAGAGAAGCAUUGAAGACACCUGCAAACUAUUUAUACCUAAACAGCAGACUGAGGACCCUUCUACACUACAAUAUAAUCCAAAUUAUCAAAAUAGAUAAUCCACAUUAUGUGAUUUGAACUGGAUUAUAUGAGUCAACACUGCCAUAUAAUCCACUAACCAAUGCAAGUAAAAGUGUGUCAAGCCAUCCUUUAAACAGAAAGGUGUUUUCCACUAGAAAUGUUAUGUCCAUUUGAAUGUUAGGAUUAGCAAAUAUGUACCAUGUUGGAUUAUAUAAUUCUGUGACACUCCUGGCAAAAUCUCACUUUUAAAAGAACAUUUGUGCUUCACUAAAUGAUUCUGGUUCCCUUCUGUAAUUAUAGAUUCUUAUCAAAAUACAUGUAAUUUUAAAUAUGCUAUAGAACAGUGUUUCUCAACCUGUGGAUCGUGAGGGGGUGUCAGAGGUGUCACCAAAGACCAUCGGAAAACACAGUAUUUUCUGUUGUUCAUGGGAAUUCUGUAUGGGAAGUUUGGCCCAAUUCUAUCGUUGGUGGGGUUCAGAAUGCACUUUGAUUGUAGGUGAACUAUAAAUCCCAGCAACUACAACUCCCAAAUGUCAAAGUCUAUUUUCCCCAACCUCCACCAGUGUUCACAUCUGGGCAUAUUGAGUAUUCGUGCCAAGUUUGGUCCAGAUUCAUCAUUGUUUGAGUCCAUAGUGCUCUCUGUGUGUAGGCGACUACAACACCAAAACUCAAGGUCAAUGCCCAGCAAACCCGUUCAGUAUUUUCACUUGAUCACGGGAGAUCUGGGUGCCAACAUUGGUUCAAUUCCAUCAUUGGUGGGGUUCAGAAUGCUCUUUGAUUGUAGGUUAACUAUAAAUCCCAGCAACUACAACUCCCAAAUGACCAGUAUUCAAAUUUGGGUGUAUCAAGUAUUUGUGCCAAAUUUGGUCCAGCGAAUGGAAAUACAUCCUGGAUAUCAGAUAUUUACAUUACAAUUCAUAAUAGUAGCAAAACUACAGUUAUGAAGUAGCAACGAAAAUAAUUUUAUGGUAGGGGGUCACCACAACAUGAGGAUCUGUAUUAUGGGGUCACAGCAUUAGGAAGGUCAAAUACCACUGUUAUAGAAUAUAAAAUAAUCUUACAUUUUUAGUUUGAAAAGACGUGGCUUUUUAGAAAAUGCUUUUCUUCUUUUACCCAGCAAUCAUGCAGGCAACAUCUCAUCUGAUAUAGAGAUGCUUGACAAAAAUGAUACCAAUUAUGACUAAUCAUGUCAAAGAACGGCACUGGAGGAGGAGAAAAAAUGCUGUCGUUCAAGCUCAAAUUAAUGUAGGAAGUGAUUAGAUAGCAUAGUGAAAUGGGGCCAACAAUAAAGAUCACAAAAUGUCUGCCAUUUGGCAACCCUGUGAGAUGUUGGAGAUAAAAGCAUCAGUGGCUUAGUGUUAUAUUGCAAUGGAUGAGAUUCCCUGAAUUACUGAGCCAGAAAUCCAGAAAUCCGAAAUGCUUCAAAAUUGUCCACAUUGGUGGCUGAAGUUUUUGUUUUCUUAUGAUUCAAUGUAACAAAUUUUGUUUCAUGCACAAAAUUAUUAAAAAUGUUGUGUGGAAAAUUA
Molecule: long non-coding RNA, 1915 nt
Organism: Anolis sagrei ordinatus
Lineage: Eukaryota; Metazoa; Chordata; Lepidosauria; Squamata; Anolidae
Source: RefSeq, a predicted model, not a curated record